GACAGAGGGUGCAAACGUUGCUCGGAAUCACUGGGGCGUAAAAGGGCGUGUAGGCGGGAAGGAAAGUCAGAUGUGAAAUCCCUGGGCUCAACCCAGGAACUGCAUUUGAAACUCCCUUUCUUGAGUACCGGAGAGGAAAGUGGAAUUCCCUGGUGUAGAGGUGAAAUUCGUAGAUAUCAGGAGGAACACCAGUGGCGAAGGCGGCUUUCUGGACGGUAACUGACGCUGGAGACGCGAAAGCGUGGGGGAGCAAAACAGG
RNAcentral lists this ribosomal RNA (259 nucleotides) under uncultured bacterium. RNAcentral describes it as "partial 16S ribosomal RNA". It matches the Rfam family "Bacterial small subunit ribosomal RNA", at positions 524 to 776 of the family's 1533-position model. The record is from RNAcentral.